AAUUCUCAACCCUCUCAGUUUUUGUGACCGAGUAGCGGAUUGGAUCAUGGGGGACAUGCUGGCCUCUUCUUGAAGUCAGCUCCCCUGAAAUGCAUUAGCGGAACUGUUUGCGGUCCCGUCACUGGUGUGAUAAUUAUCUACGCCGAAGACGAAAGGAUUGCUCUCUAUCUGUUCAGCUACUAACCAAGUCCCCCUCUGGGUGGACAACUUUUGAAA
RNAcentral lists this unclassified non-coding RNA (216 nucleotides) under uncultured Agaricaceae. RNAcentral describes it as "sequence contains ITS2". RNAcentral also lists the same sequence under 1 other name. The record is from RNAcentral. Lineage: Eukaryota; Fungi; Basidiomycota; Agaricomycetes; Agaricales; Agaricaceae.